This 943-nucleotide ribosomal RNA is filed under the name Parengyodontium album. RNAcentral's name for it is "partial large subunit ribosomal RNA". It matches the Rfam family "Eukaryotic large subunit ribosomal RNA", at positions 96 to 1069 of the family's 3401-position model. Lineage: Eukaryota; Fungi; Ascomycota; Sordariomycetes; Hypocreales; Cordycipitaceae. The record is from RNAcentral.
AAGCGGCAACAGCUCAAAUUUGAAAUCUGGUCCCCAGGGCCCGAGUUGUAAUUUGUAGAGGAUGCUUUUGGCGAGGCGCCUUCCGAGUUUCCUGGAACGGGACGCCACAGAGGGUGAGAGCCCCGUCUGGUCGGAUGCCAAGCCUAUGUAAAGCUCCUUCGACGAGUCGAGUAGUUUGGGAAUGCUGCUCAAAAUGGGAGGUAUAUGUCUUCUAAAGCUAAAUACCGGCCAGAGACCGAUAGCGCACAAGUAGAGUGAUCGAAAGAUGAAAAGCACUUUGAAAAGAGGGUUAAAAAGUACGUGAAAUUGUUGAAAGGGAAGCGCCUAUGACCAGACUUGGGCCCGGUGAAUCAUCCAGCGUUCUCGCUGGUGCACUUUGCCGGGCACAGGCCAGCAUCAGUUUGGCGCGGGGGACAAAGGCUUCGGGAAUGUGGCUCCCCUCGGGGAGUGUUAUAGCCCGUUGCGCAAUACCCUGCGCCGGACUGAGGUACGCGCUCCGCAAGGAUGCUGGCGUAAUGGUCAUCAGCGACCCGUCUUGAAACACGGACCAAGGAGUCGUCUUCGUAUGCGAGUGUUCGGGUGUAAAACCCCUACGCGUAAUGAAAGUGAACGCAGGUGAGAGCUUCGGCGCAUCACCGACCGAUCCUGAUGUUCUCGGAUGGAUUUGAGUAAGAGCAUACGGGGCCGGACCCGAAAGAAGGUGAACUAUGCCUGUAUAGGGUGAAGCCAGAGGAAACUCUGGUGGAGGCUCGCAGCGGUUCUGACGUGCAAAUCGAUCGUCAAAUAUGGGCAUGGGGGCGAAAGACUAAUCGAACCUUCUAGUAGCUGGUUUCCGCCGAAGUUUCCCUCAGGAUAGCAGUGUUGAACUCAGUUUUAUGAGGUAAAGCGAAUGAUUAGGGACUCGGGGGCGCUAUAUAGCCUUCAUCCAUUCUCAAUCUUUAAA